RNAcentral lists this ribosomal RNA (789 nucleotides) under Lactobacillus casei group sp. RNAcentral describes it as "bacterial SSU rRNA". It matches the Rfam family "Bacterial small subunit ribosomal RNA", at positions 8 to 760 of the family's 1533-position model. Lineage: Bacteria; Bacillati; Bacillota; Bacilli; Lactobacillales; Lactobacillaceae. The record is from RNAcentral.
AGAGUUUGAAUCAUGGCUCAGGAUGAACGCUGGCGGCGUGCCUAAUACAUGCAAGUCGAACGAGUUCUCGUUGAUGAUCGGUGCUUGCACCGAGAUUCAACAUGGAACGAGUGGCGGACGGGUGAGUAACACGUGGGUAACCUGCCCUUAAGUGGGGGAUAACAUUUGGAAACAGAUGCUAAUACCGCAUAGAUCCAAGAACCGCAUGGUUCUUGGCUGAAAGAUGGCGUAAGCUAUCGCUUUUGGAUGGACCCGCGGCGUAUUAGCUAGUUGGUGAGGUAAUGGCUCACCAAGGCGAUGAUACGUAGCCGAACUGAGAGGUUGAUCGGCCACAUUGGGACUGAGACACGGCCCAAACUCCUACGGGAGGCAGCAGUAGGGAAUCUUCCACAAUGGACGCAAGUCUGAUGGAGCAACGCCGCGUGAGUGAAGAAGGCUUUCGGGUCGUAAAACUCUGUUGUUGGAGAAGAAUGGUCGGCAGAGUAACUGUUGUCGGCGUGACGGUAUCCAACCAGAAAGCCACGGCUAACUACGUGCCAGCAGCCGCGGUAAUACGUAGGUGGCAAGCGUUAUCCGGAUUUAUUGGGCGUAAAGCGAGCGCAGGCGGUUUUUUAAGUCUGAUGUGAAAGCCCUCGGCUUAACCGAGGAAGCGCAUCGGAAACUGGGAAACUUGAGUGCAGAAGAGGACAGUGGAACUCCAUGUGUAGCGGUGAAAUGCGUAGAUAUAUGGAAGAACACCAGUGGCGAAGGCGGCUGUCUGGUCUGUAACUGACGCUGAGGCUCGAAAGC